UGCCAGACUCCUACGGGAGGCAGCAGUGGGGAAUAUUGCACAAUGGGGGAAACCCUGAUGCAGCAACGCCGCGUGAGUGAAGAAGUCAUUCGUGAUGUAAAGCUCUAUCAGCAGGGAAGAAAAUGACGGUACCUGAGUAAGAAGCCCCGGCUAACUACGUGCCAGCAGCCGCGGUAAUACGUAGGGGGCAAGCGUUAUCCGGAUUUACUGGGUGUAAAGGGAGCGUAGACGGCCAGGCAAGUCUGGAGUGAAAGCCCGGGGCUCAACCCCGGGACUGCUUUGGAAACUGCCAGGCUGGAGUGCUGGAGAGGCAAGCGGAAUUCCUAGUGUAGCGGUGAAAUGCGUAGAUAUUAGGAAGAACACCAGUGGCGAAGGCGGCUUGCUGGACAGUAACUGACGUUGAGGCUCGAAAGCGUGGGGAGCAAACAGGAUUAGAUACCCGGGUA
This 446-nucleotide ribosomal RNA is filed under the name uncultured bacterium. Its description in RNAcentral is "bacterial SSU rRNA". It matches the Rfam family "Bacterial small subunit ribosomal RNA", at positions 329 to 792 of the family's 1533-position model. The record is from RNAcentral.